Molecule: ribosomal RNA, 503 nt
Filed under: uncultured bacterium
Lineage: Bacteria
Description: bacterial SSU rRNA
Rfam family: Bacterial small subunit ribosomal RNA
Source: RNAcentral
GACGAACGCUGGCGGCGUGCCUAAUACAUGCAAGUCGAGCGAAGAAUAGGUUUCAAAUCUUCGGAUGCGAGACCUAUUACUUAGCGGCGAACGGGUGAGUAACGCGUGGGCAACCUGCCCCCCAGACUGGGAUAACAGCUCGAAAGGGCUGCUAAUACCGGAUACGCCUCAAGGAUCGCAUGUUACUUGAGGGAAAGUGUUUAGCGCUGGGGGAUGGGCCCGCGUCCCAUUAGCUAGUUGGUGAGGUAACGGCUCACCAAGGCGACGAUGGGUAGCCGGCCUGAGAGGGUGGACGGCCACACUGGGACUGAGACACGGCCCAGACUCCUACGGGAGGCAGCAGUAGGGAAUAUUGCGCAAUGGGGGGGAACCCCUGACGCAGCGACGCCGCGUGAGCGAUGAAGGCCUUGGGUCGUAAAGCUCUGUCCUAUGGGAAGAAUUUGACGGUACCAUAGAGGAAGCCCCGGCUAACUACGUGCCAGCAGCCGCGGUAAUAGUACUCU